AGAGUUUGAUCCUGGCUCAGGACGAACGCUGGCGGCGUGCCUAACACAUGCAAGUCGAACGGAGAAUUUCAAGAUGUUUACAUGGCGAAAUUCUUAGUGGCGGACGGGUGAGUAACGCGUGGGUAACCUACCCAUAAAGCCGGGACAACCCUUGGAAACGAGGGCUAAUACCGGAUAAUCUUAAGUUUUGGCAUCAGAAUUUAAGGAAAGAUGGCCUCUGAAUAUGCUAUCGAUUAUGGAUGGACCCGCGUCUGAUUAGCUAGUUGGUGGGGUAAAGGCCUACCAAGGCGACGAUCAGUAGCCGGCCUGAGAGGGUGAACGGCCACACUGGGACUGAGACACGGCCCAGACUCCUACGGGAGGCAGCAGUGGGGAAUCUUCCGCAAUGGACGAAAGUCUGACGGAGCAACGCCGCGUGUAUGAUGAAGGUCUUCGGAUUGUAAAGUACUGUCUUUGGGGAAGAAC
Molecule: ribosomal RNA, 465 nt
Filed under: uncultured bacterium
Lineage: Bacteria
Description: bacterial SSU rRNA
Rfam family: Bacterial small subunit ribosomal RNA
Source: RNAcentral